RNAcentral lists this ribosomal RNA (524 nucleotides) under Fusarium proliferatum. RNAcentral describes it as "eukaryotic LSU rRNA". The stretch from base 148 to 301 matches the Rfam family "5.8S ribosomal RNA". Lineage: Eukaryota; Fungi; Ascomycota; Sordariomycetes; Hypocreales; Nectriaceae. The record is from RNAcentral.
GGCACGAUGGUCACUCCCAACCCCUGUGACAUACCAAUUGUUGCCUCGGCGGAUCAGCCCGCUCCCGGUAAAACGGGACGGCCCGCCAGAGGACCCCUAAACUCUGUUUCUAUAUGUAACUUCUGAGUAAAACCAUAAAUAAAUCAAAACUUUCAACAACGGAUCUCUUGGUUCUGGCAUCGAUGAAGAACGCAGCAAAAUGCGAUAAGUAAUGUGAAUUGCAGAAUUCAGUGAAUCAUCGAAUCUUUGAACGCACAUUGCGCCCGCCAGUAUUCUGGCGGGCAUGCCUGUUCGAGCGUCAUUUCAACCCUCAAGCCCCCGGGUUUGGUGUUGGGGAUCGGCGAGCCCUUGCGGCAAGCCGGCCCCGAAAUCUAGUGGCGGUCUCGCUGCAGCUUCCAUUGCGUAGUAGUAAAACCCUCGCAACUGGUACGCGGCGCGGCCAAGCCGUUAAACCCCCAACUUCUGAAUGUUGACCUCGGAUCAGGUAGGAAUACCCGCUGAACUUAAGCUACGAACGCGGGAGG